UCCAAAAUAAGUAAAUCUAUUCCCUUCAUCGAACAUGAAACGGAAGACGGUUGAAAAUAAAAUCAAGCAGACACAAUAUAACAAAUCUACACAGACACAAUAAAAAUUUCCAGCAGUGAUAGUCUUCUUCCUCAGUGCACCUUCAAAUGCAUCUUUUUUGGGGUUAAAUUCCAAGUUGCUAUUUCUGGCUACAUAGAUACAUGCACAUUCUCACACAUAAUUUGAUAUUUUUCUUGUUGUGUUAAUUUUCAUGUAGAAUGAAAGUUGUAAAUUGUUUAUGUUUA
Long non-coding RNA from Nicotiana tabacum (common tobacco), 284 nucleotides. RefSeq lists it as uncharacterized. The record is from RefSeq and is a predicted model, not a curated record. Lineage: Eukaryota; Viridiplantae; Streptophyta; Magnoliopsida; Solanales; Solanaceae.